GACGUAGGGGGCCAGCGUUGUUCGGAAUUACUGGGUGUAAAGGGUUCGUAGGCGGUGCGGCAAGUUGGGAGUGAAAUCUCUGGGCUCAACCCAGAGGCUGCUUCCAAAACUGCUGUGCUUGAGUGUGGGAGAGGCGCGUGGAAUUGCAGGUGUAGCGGUGAAAUGCGUAGAUAUCUGCAGGAACACCCGUGGCGAAAGCGGCGCGCUGGACCACUACUGACGCUGAGGAACGAAAGCUAGGGGAGCAAACGG
Molecule: ribosomal RNA, 252 nt
Filed under: uncultured bacterium
Lineage: Bacteria
Description: partial 16S ribosomal RNA
Rfam family: Bacterial small subunit ribosomal RNA
Source: RNAcentral